GGGCUCAAGUGAGUGGAGGGAUCCAUUUUAAACAGCAGGAGCCCCUCCGCCUCCAUUUAAGGAUAGGAGAGUGGUGGACGACAGUUAUCGUGGUUUUCGUUCUGAGGUGGCACUGUGGGAGCUAAAGCUGGCGAUCUAGCGUUCCGCGUCCAAGUCCAGCCUCCAGUGGUCGAGAGUUAAGCAUCCCCUGCUUUUCCUUCGCUACUCAUUGCUCGUAUCUACUCCAGAGCGGGUCUCUCCGAGGAGGCUGUGCCGAAGGCCGCCGGUAGGCGAGAUGUUCAAAAACACGUUCCAGAGUGGCUUCCUCUCCAUCCUCUACAGCAUUGGCAGCAAGCCCCUGCAGAUCUGGGACAAAAAGGUGCGAAAUGGCCACAUCAAAAGAAUCACUGAUAAUGACAUUCAGUCUCUGGUGUUAGAAAUUGAAGGGACAAAUGUCAGCACUACAUAUAUAACAUGUCCUGCAGACCCAAAGAAGACAUUGGGAAUUAAGCUUCCUUUCCUUGUCAUGAUUAUAAAAAACCUGAAGAAAUAUUUCACCUUUGAAGUACAGGUACUAGAUGACAAAAAUGUGCGCCGGCGGUUUCGGGCAAGUAACUAUCAGAGCACUACUCGUGUCAAGCCCUUUAUCUGUACCAUGCCCAUGCGGCUGGAUGAUGGCUGGAACCAGAUUCAGUUCAACUUAUCUGACUUCACCCGGCGGGCAUAUGGCACAAAUUACAUUGAGACCCUAAGAGUACAGAUCCAUGCAAACUGCCGCAUCCGACGUGUUUACUUCUCAGACAGGCUCUACUCAGAAGAUGAGCUGCCGGCAGAGUUCAAACUGUAUCUCCCAGUUCAGAAUAAGGCAAAGCAAUAACUGGAAUGCAACUCAAGAUAGACCCUGAACGUGACCCUUAAGGAAACUACCUUGAGAACAAUGCAAAAAACAUUUGUACUUCACUGUGCUAUGGUCACCUUGUCAUGGACACUAGUGACCAUAACUCCGUAACUGCAUCUGGUUACCACGCGGCGGAGAAAGGAACAGAUGAUGGCCAGCACAACACCACUGGUGAGCCUUACAAUCAAAGUGAAGAAUGACAAAAAAUAAGGCACCCUACAGUCUACCCUUAGCAAUGGAAGAACCCACUUAUAGCAAACUCAGGACCGACUUCUGCACCAGGCGCAGUGCCAACAGCUCACAGCAUUUCCAGGGCCCAUCGAGUGUUCCAACAAUUUUUU
Molecule: RNA transcript, 1218 nt
Organism: Fukomys damarensis (Damara mole-rat)
Lineage: Eukaryota; Metazoa; Chordata; Mammalia; Rodentia; Bathyergidae
Gene: Cfap20
Gene name: cilia and flagella associated protein 20
Exons: 8
Source: RefSeq, a predicted model, not a curated record